RNAcentral lists this long non-coding RNA (927 nucleotides) under Felis catus (domestic cat). RNAcentral's name for it is "lncRNA (ENSFCAG00000052418.1)". Lineage: Eukaryota; Metazoa; Chordata; Mammalia; Carnivora; Felidae. The record is from RNAcentral.
AUGUUCUCCUGUUGUAUGCCCGUGUCCCGCGGCUGCCGGCUCGGGGGAGCCCGUGGCCGCGACGCUUCCCGACCCUGGAGACAGUGGGUCAGGUUGUGCACAGGACGCCUCAGGUCUCUAGCUCGCAGGGACCCAAAGAAAUCAACCGAUGAAAUCGGGAAACGAUUGGCGGAAUCUGGAUUCACCCGCCCUACAGAGUUGUGCAUGUGCCCCGUCACCCAGGAGGGCCACCCUGGACCCAGAGAGAGAGUGGCCACACGCAGGUCUCAGGAAGCAGGGCCUGGAGUUGGCCUGGGAAGGCCUCCUUCACCGCCCUGGCCCCUCCACAGGGUCCUGGUUCACCGGUCCUGGGAUGAGGACCCGGAGCCCCCGGAGCCAGAGCCCGAGGAGUCCGGGGCAGGAGCGGAAGCCGGUGUGGCUCCAGAGCCCGACCCAAGGGCAUCGGGGUCCUCGGAGUCUCUGCACUCAGGGGUGGAGUCUGGGGCGACUCCUGCAGGGGCCUGGGAGCCAGCAAGUGACCUGGGACCUGUGCAGGGACAGCAGGCAACUGAGCAGAGUCAGCUGGGUCCUGCUUCUGCUCCCGCUUCUCCUGGUUCCACUGUUCCUGCUUCUGAUCCCAACACUGCUCCUGCCAUCGCCCUUCUCCCCGCCCCUGCCACUGCCCUUGAUCCCACAUGGAUGGCGGCCAAAAAUCAAGGGCUUGAAGACCUAUACAGGGUGCUUUUUUUAUCUUAUUUUAUUUUUUGUUUAUUAUAUUUUAUUUCAAAUUCAUUCUCCAAUCCCUGACCCCGACCCCCCACCAAAAUGUCUCUUCCUCUUCUCCCUUAUCCUUUUUCUCUUCGAUUUUUUAGCUGUUAUGGUAUUCGUUCAUUAGUUAUAAUCUAUAUUAAUCUUCAAUAAAAUGUUUUAUUUAUUUUACGUUGUGCA